This 438-nucleotide unclassified non-coding RNA is filed under the name Hevea brasiliensis (rubber tree). Lineage: Eukaryota; Viridiplantae; Streptophyta; Magnoliopsida; Malpighiales; Euphorbiaceae. The record is from RNAcentral.
UUUUUAAGAUCGCUUGCGCAAAAGACAACAGAGAAAACUGAACUUACAAGAAAACAACGGUUGGUGCUGAAACAAUAGAUAACUCAAACAAAUGAAUUUCCAGCAAUCAAAAGCAUCUAAAAGCUGAUAUUUAUAUAAACCAAACUUCCAUAUGAGUAUUUAUUAAAAAAAAAAUCCCAUAUUAGUAGAUAAAUCCACAGAACUCAUAAAUUUUUUCUGCCCCAUAAAGUAAAAGGACAAGAUCUUUCACUUCUUUUGUCGCGGGGUUUGAUGAAGAGCAUUCAUUUCUUCCAAAAAAAUUCUUCUUGACCAGCCCUCGAGGCGGCGGAAGGUUAGAGAAGUGAGAGUUGGGGCAGCUGUUUGCUUGGCUAGAGUUUUUCUUGGUUGGGUCACUCAUUUCUUGACUCUCUAGCUAAUUCUUGUGGAAGUAAAAGAGUG